RNAcentral lists this ribosomal RNA (507 nucleotides) under uncultured Sphingobacteriales bacterium. RNAcentral's name for it is "bacterial SSU rRNA". It matches the Rfam family "Bacterial small subunit ribosomal RNA", at positions 903 to 1382 of the family's 1533-position model. Lineage: Bacteria; Pseudomonadati; Bacteroidota; Sphingobacteriia; Sphingobacteriales. The record is from RNAcentral.
CGCCUUGCCAGCCCGCUCAGAAACUUAAAUGAAUUGACGGGGGCCCGCACAAGCGGAGGAGCAUGUGGUUUAAUUCGAUGAUACGCGAGGAACCUUACCUGGGCUCGAACGUAAGAUGACUGUAGGUGAAAGCUUACAUCUCUUCGGAGCAUUUUACGAGGUGCUGCAUGGUUGUCGUCAGCUCGUGCCGUGAGGUGUCGGGUUAAGUCCCAUAACGAGCGCAACCCCUACCUUUAGUUGCCAUCAGGUUAAGCUGGGGACUCUAAAGGAACUGCCUACGCAAGUAGUGAGGAAGGUGGGGAUGACGUCAAAUCAGCACGGCCCUUACGUCCAGGGCUACACACGUGCUACAAUGGCCGGUACAAAGGGCAGCUACCUGGUGACAGGAUGCAAAUCUCCAAAGUCGGUCUCAGUUCGGAUCGGAGUCUGCAACCCGACUCCGUGAAGUUGGAUUCGCUAGUAAUCGCGCCAUCAGACCAUGGCGCGGUGAAUACGUUCCCGGGCCUU